AAUGAACGUUGGCAGCGUGGAUUAGGCAUGCAAGUCGAGCGACAAGGUCCUUGGACUGGAGGAGCGGCAAACGGGGUAGGUAAUACAUCGGAACGUACCCUCACGUCUGGGAUAGCCACGGGAAACUGUGGGUAAUACUGGAUAAUCUCACCGCUUGUGAAGAGUGGUGAGCAAAGGUCCGCCGCGUGAGGAGCGGCCGAUGCGAUACUAGAUAGUUGGUGGGGUAAUGGCCUACCAAGUCUAAGAUGUCUAGGGGGUGUGAGAGCAUGGCCCCCACCACUGGGACUGAGACACUGCCCAGACACCUACGGGUGGCUGCAGUCGAGAAUCUUUGGCAAUGGGCGC
This 345-nucleotide ribosomal RNA is filed under the name uncultured bacterium. RNAcentral's name for it is "bacterial SSU rRNA". It matches the Rfam family "Bacterial small subunit ribosomal RNA", at positions 29 to 378 of the family's 1533-position model. The record is from RNAcentral.